Molecule: ribosomal RNA, 481 nt
Filed under: uncultured bacterium
Lineage: Bacteria
Description: bacterial SSU rRNA
Rfam family: Bacterial small subunit ribosomal RNA
Source: RNAcentral
AUGAACGCUAGCGGCAGGCUAUACAUGCAAGUCGUGGGGCAGCAUGAGUAGCAAUACUUGAUGGCGACCGGCAAACGGGUGAGGAACACGUACACAGCCUUCCUUCAAGCGGGGAAUAGCCCAGAGAAAUUUGGAUUAAUACCCCAUAAUAUAUUUGAUAAGGCAUCUUAUUAAUAUUAAAGCUUCGGCACUUGAUGAUGGGUGUGCGGCUGAUUAGAUAGUUGGCGGGUAACGGCCCACCAAGUCUACGAUCAGUAGCUGAUGUGAGAGCAUGGUCAGCCACACGGGCACUGAGACACGGGCCCGACUCCUACGGGAGGCAGCAGUAAGGAAUAUUGGACAAUGGACGAAAGUCUGAUCCAGCCAUGCCGCGUGAAGGAUUAAGGUCCUCUGGAUUGUAAACUUCUUUUAUAUGGGACGAAAAAAGGGCAUUCUUGUUCACUUGACGGUACCAUAUGAAUAAGCACCGGCUAACUCCGUG